This 22-nucleotide non-coding RNA is filed under the name Arabidopsis thaliana (thale cress). The record is from RNAcentral. Lineage: Eukaryota; Viridiplantae; Streptophyta; Magnoliopsida; Brassicales; Brassicaceae.
UAACCGCGAAUUGCGUGGCGCC